UACGGAGGGUGCAAGCGUUAUCCGGAUUUACUGGGUUUAAAGGGUGCGCAGGCGGUUAUGUAAGUCAGUGGUGAAAUCUCUGGGCUUAACCCGGAAAUUGCCAUUGAUACUAUAUAUCUUGAAUGCUGUGGAGGUAAGCGGAAUAUGUCAUGUAGCGGUGAAAUGCUUAGAGAUGACAUAGAACACCUAUUGCGAAGGCAGCUUACUACGCAGAUAUUGACGCUGAGGCACGAAAGCGUGGGGAUCAAACAGG
Molecule: ribosomal RNA, 253 nt
Filed under: uncultured bacterium
Lineage: Bacteria
Description: partial 16S ribosomal RNA
Rfam family: Bacterial small subunit ribosomal RNA
Source: RNAcentral